GAUGAACGCUGGCGGCGUGCCUAAUACAUGCAAGUAGAACGCUGAAGGAGGAGCUUGCUCUUCUGGAUGAGUUGCGAACGGGUGAGUAACGCGUAGGUAACCUGCCUGUUAGCGGGGGAUAACUAUUGGAAACGAUAGCUAAUACCGCAUGACAACAGUUAUUGCAUGAUAACUGUUUAAAAGGGGCAACUGCUCCACUACCAGAUGGACCUGCGUUGUAUUAGCUAGUUGGUGAGGUAACGGCUCACCAAGGCGACGAUACAUAGCCGACCUGAGAGGGUGAUCGCCCACACGGGAACGGAGACACGGCCCAGACGCCUACGGGAGGCAGCAGUAGGGAAUCUUCGGCAAUGGCCGAAAGCCUGACGGAGCAACGCCGCGUGAGUGAGGAAGGUUUUCGGAUCGUAAACCUCUGUGUUAAGGGAAGAACAAGUGUGGAAGUGAAAAGUCACCACUUGACGGUACCUUACCAGAAAGGGACGGCUAACUACGUG
Molecule: ribosomal RNA, 494 nt
Filed under: uncultured bacterium
Lineage: Bacteria
Description: partial 16S ribosomal RNA
Rfam family: Bacterial small subunit ribosomal RNA
Source: RNAcentral